UUUAACAGUGACACCCAUCACAUCUGAAGACUGAUCUAGUACAUUGUAGGCCAUGAUGGUGGUUCUGGCGGGAGGCCUUGCAGUGGCUCUGUUCAUGCUGGGCCUGGAGGUGGUGUUUGCUGGAGUCUUGCGUUAUUGACGAUUAUAAUGCUGUCAGUGACUGACAUUCUGGGAGGUGUUGGCGUUCCUGCAUUAUAUAAGAUGAUGCCGCGGCAUGUCGAGGCUCACUAGGGCCCUUCCUGCCUCCUGCUGUGGACAGACCCGCUCCUCCACACCUCGCCUCUGCGCCUGGGGUUUUGCCUUGGCGACGGCACCGCCCUGCAGGGAGGCUUCCACCAGCAGGUGAUGGAGAUCGAAUACACGCAUAUAUGUGGCAAAUAUUAAUUUUAUGUAGUGUUUUUAGGAACGAUGUAACAAAUACUUAUGAAAGUGAAUAGAGAAAAUGGCAUCCUAUCUUCGAAAAGAAACGUGUUUGUACGAAAGGCUGAGAUUCUUGUGGCUGCGCUCUGCUGGUCUCUCUCUGAGGGCAAUUGCACGGCGGUCCGGCAGGAGUUUACACACAGUGAGGCGCUGGGUGUCCCGAUGGGAGCAGCAUGGACGCCUCCGUUGUCAAGUCCAGGAUCAGCGGUUCUGCCGAGCUGUGGCUGCACACACUGAUAAGAAUGUCACUCAAGGUAUGACGGAAGGGAACCUCUCCGUCACUCAGAAAGCACUGUUCCUCCCUUGGCUGAAUGCCGCCAUGGAAUCAACGUCUUACACCUUUACCGACACUCUCUUCCUUGACCCUCAAGUUUUCAGUUUUUUUAUGGGACUCUGAAACUAAACUAAUUCAUAACAAAACCGUUUAUGAAACGUUUUAAAUUUUUGUAUCAGCAGCAACUGUGAAGCGAUGCUUCCGGGAUUAUUGCCACUUCCAUUGAAAUAUAUAGGUAAAUAAAUGCGUGAACAUAA
Scylla paramamosain (green mud crab) is the source of this 951-nucleotide long non-coding RNA. RefSeq lists it as uncharacterized. The transcript has 2 exons. Lineage: Eukaryota; Metazoa; Arthropoda; Malacostraca; Decapoda; Portunidae. The record is from RefSeq and is a predicted model, not a curated record.